Long non-coding RNA from Papaver somniferum (opium poppy), 589 nucleotides. RefSeq lists it as uncharacterized. The transcript has 2 exons. NCBI's taxonomy places the organism in Eukaryota, Viridiplantae, Streptophyta, Magnoliopsida, Ranunculales, Papaveraceae. The record is from RefSeq and is a predicted model, not a curated record.
CAAAAAGCUUAGGGAAAGAAUUUUCACAAGUUAAAAAACAUAAGGUUAAGGAGAAGAAGAAAGAUAUGGAGCUAGAGAUUUUUAGAGAAGCAAUCUAAAGAAUAUUGUAGCUAAUAAAAGGAAAAAAAAAGAGCUGGCUCCUCAAAAAGUUAAAUGCGAUCUAAGCCACCAUCUACAGACCUUUCAAAAAAAUCCACUGUAGAGUAGAUGGAGCACCAUGGACCUUUAAGAUGUGAAUCUUCCCGAAGUGGGGAAGUAGACUUCGUGGGCACAAAUGAAUUCACAAGCCUGGACCAUUAAACCUCCCUUCCCUGAAAUACACCACAUCUCAAACUGGAUGAUUGCAGGAGUAGGGUAUUUCUCAUUUGCAAGUGUUCCAUUUUAUCAUUUGUGAUUUUUUGUAGGUUAUUCAUGUUGUUUACGUAUCUCCCUUUCAAACAUAGCAGCCACCGCUAAAUUUUGAUUCAGUAACCUUUUGUGAUUUUGGUGUAACGAUUUCUAUAAGAAUAUUGAAUACAGGAAAGAAAAAUGGCAUCCAAGGUUACUAGACCCGCAAAAAAAAAAAAUCAUGCCACCACCUAUAAGACCC